UGGGGAAUCUUGCACAAUGGGGGAAACCCUGAUGCAGCGACGCCGCGUGAACGAUGAAGCCCUUCGGGGUGUAAAGUUCUUUCGACAGGAACGAUAAUGACGGUACCUGGAGAAGAAGCUGCGGCUAACUACGUGCCAGCAGCCGCGGUAAUACGUAGGCAGCGAGCGUUGUUCGGAGUUACUGGGCGUAAAAAGUGCGUAGGCGGCGAGCCAAGUUUGGUGUGAAAUCUCCCGGCUUAACCGGGAGGGUGCGCCGAAAACUGGUUGGCUGGAGUAUGGGAGAGGAAAGCGGAAUUCCUGGUGUAGCGGUGAAAUGCGUAGAUAUCAGGAGGAACACCUGCGGUGUAGACAGCUUUCUGGACCAAAACUGACGCUGAGGCACGAAAGCGUGGGUAGCAAACA
RNAcentral lists this ribosomal RNA (402 nucleotides) under uncultured bacterium. RNAcentral describes it as "bacterial SSU rRNA". It matches the Rfam family "Bacterial small subunit ribosomal RNA", at positions 355 to 774 of the family's 1533-position model. The record is from RNAcentral.